AGCUUGCUGAAUAAUGCAGCAAAUACUGUAUUGACAGUACCCAGAUUAGAUAAAUCAAUUUCCAUAUCCAUGCUUUCAGCAUCAAGGGCCUCAAACCCCACACUAUCAUACUGCCUUCUCUUUUCUGGGUCAGAUAAGAUGCUGUAGGAAUAUGCAACCUCCUUAAAAAGUUCAGAAGCUUCAGGGUUGCUUGCAUUUUUGUCCGGAUGAUACUUGAGAGCUAGUUUCCGAUAAGCAGUUUUAAUCUCCUGAUCAGAAGAAUCUCUCGAUACGGACAAUACCUCAUAUGGGUCUCGUCGAAUUACUGGAGCUGAUGUACUUUCAGCCUUCUUCGAACCCAUCCCACCUCGUUCCAAAACCCUGCUCUCUGUAUCACUCGAGAGAUAUUGCUCCACUUCGAAUCAGCAAUACUAUAAUUUCCCUUCAAUGGACCCAAUUUGAAGCAAUCGGUUAACCAUGUCCUAAGGAAGUUUUGGUUGUUUUCCUGCUCUUCGUUCUUCGUUUCUUCUUCUUCUUCACCUCUUUUGGGACAUCACAUAAUGUCAGCAAAUUUUC
This 555-nucleotide unclassified non-coding RNA is filed under the name Hevea brasiliensis (rubber tree). Lineage: Eukaryota; Viridiplantae; Streptophyta; Magnoliopsida; Malpighiales; Euphorbiaceae. The record is from RNAcentral.